UGAGGAAUCUUGGACAAUGGGCGAAAGCCUGAUCCAGCCAUGCCGCGUGAAUGAUGAAGGCCUUAGGGUUGUAAAAUUCUUUCAGCAGGGAAGAUAAUGACGGUACCUGCAGAAGAAGCCCCGGCUAACUCCGUGCCAGCAGCCGCGGUAAUACGGAGGGGGCUAGCGUUGUUCGGAAUUACUGGGCGUAAAGCGCUCGUAGGCGGAUUGGUCAGUCAGGGGUGAAAGCCCGGAGCUCAACUCCGGAACUGCCUUUGAUACUGCCAGUCUUGAGUUCGGGAGAGGUGAGCGGAAUACCGAGUGUAGAGGUGAAAUUCGUAGAUAUUCGGUGGAACACCAGAGGCGAAGGCGGCUCACUGGACCGAUACUGACGCUGAGGAGCGAAAGCGUGGGGAGCAAACAGG
This 404-nucleotide ribosomal RNA is filed under the name uncultured bacterium. RNAcentral's name for it is "bacterial SSU rRNA". It matches the Rfam family "Bacterial small subunit ribosomal RNA", at positions 355 to 776 of the family's 1533-position model. The record is from RNAcentral.